Long non-coding RNA from Anas platyrhynchos (mallard), 10845 nucleotides. RefSeq lists it as uncharacterized. The record is from RefSeq and is a predicted model, not a curated record. NCBI's taxonomy places the organism in Eukaryota, Metazoa, Chordata, Aves, Anseriformes, Anatidae.
UUCUGGUAUUUAACGAGCAAGCUGUUUUCUGUCACUGUGUAACAGCAGUGGGCAGAGGUCCUACAGAGAGGCAGAUAACGCAGAGCAGAAAAUCCUUGGCAUUAUGGAGGGAAUGUGUCUGGGAGCUUGCUCUGCCCUUUCUUCUCUUGCCAUUGAUGUCCUUGCUGUAUCAGAUCCCAUUCUCAGUGCCAUGUGUGCUGCAGCUGGUUGGGUAGCAGGAUUUUAAUAAUUGUAUUGAGCUGUUCAGAAUGUUCUUAUUCAGUUGUUGUUUUGGGAGGCUGCCAAGCUUUUCCUGAGGAAAGCAAACAGAAAGGAAAUGCCAGGAUUUUCUGACAGCCUGUGACCCAGCUAGACCAGAAUGGAAAUUCAUGACAAAAAAUAAAAGUAGUCCAGGCUGCACCUAGGGAAGAGAAGACCCAGCUGGACUCCAGGACAGAGUUCUGUGAUCUGAAGGCCAUCGCUUCAGCCAUGGACAGCUGCACAGAAGGAAUACUAUGACAAAAAAAGGAACCGCAGAACACAGCCUGGAAAUGGGGAACUGAACUGUUCUCUCUUGUAUUUGGAUACAACAGAUAUAUUUCUGCUUGAAUGCUCCAAAGCAAGCAACCAAACAACCUCAUGGACAAGAACAGACACUGGAAUGGCUGAUGCAAAUUAUGAAGUUUUAAACUACUAGAAGAACUUGAGAACUUGAGAUUACAGCUUAAGCUCUUGAUACUGUGUUCACUAUUCUUAGUGAACACAAUGCCCUAUACCAUGUAUGUUAACACAAACCAGUCUGAGUGAAUAUUCAUUUUGAUAGAUGGGAACCUAGAUCUUUAAUUUUUGUGGUAUUAGAGAGCAUAAAAGUCUUCUGAAAAACUAAGUCUAAACAAUUUGCCGAAAGAUAAAUAGGAAGUCUGUGUCCUAAGAGGAAUCUGUAUGCAAGUUUUAUAAGUCAUAGACCAAUGUUUUUAAUCCUAAAACUUUCAUAUUCAGCAAUACAAAGGAUACAAAGAAUAAUAUAUAUAUAUAUAUAUAUAUAAAAGUAUUUAAAAGAUCUUUGAAUCUAUAAAAAUGCAUAGAACAGAGAAGGCAUUCUAGCAUUUUAACUAGUUCUUGAGCAUAUUAGCAUAGGAAUAUAUUUUUAAUAGACUAAUGUUAUUUAUAGCCUUCUAAAUCAUCCCUGGCAUACCUAUAAAAAUUAAAACUUAUUGAAGUCAGCUACUUCUCUGCCAUAAAAGACUUAGCAAAUUUAACAGAAAAACAAACAGCUUUUUGAAUUCCUCUUAAAUUACUUGCAAUAACACUUAAGUGCCUAUUGAAAGCUUUUCAUAUGUAAAGCACAAACCAUUUCAUAAAUGUGGGAAUAACAUUAUUACAUCUAUUUUUAUCUGGGAAACUGUAAAUUAACAGGGUGUGUGUGUGUGCGUGUCACACUGCUGUCCUGCACAGGGCCAUCUGAGUCAGCCUGUGACUAAUUAGUUUUGUUACUGGAAACAGUCUAGUCACGCUAACAUGAUGCUCUGGGAAGGCGAAAACGCCCUGCUUCUAGUCAAUCUCCUCACUGUACUUUACCGUGCCAUGUGAACAAGUCCUCAGAAGCUAAUGGCCUGUGUUUACAGAGACGCUGAGCAUCCCCAAGUCCCUCUGAAUGCGAUCCCUGCAGCUACGCAGCAGCCCGAGCCUCGCCUCACCCUCCAGUCCUGCAUUUGCAAUUCUCUGCACCUUCUCCUUUGGCUCACUGUCGUGUCAGAAUGAUGAGAUAUGCAAGCACAAAGCUCAGGCAGGGCUGGCCCAGACUUGCAAAAUGGGUUUCUUCAAGCAAAUUCCAUAAUUUAGAGAACAGGGAUAGUACAGAGUACCCAAUCUCCUGAACAGUUAUGGAUUAGUUUCCCAGUGCUGACUGCAAGGCCAGUGCCCAAGUGUUCUGAGGUCAAAUUUAUUCUUAGCAUCAGCUCUUUGAAGAUGCAAUAGUGUUAGGCCUCCAUUAAGCCUGAAGUCAGAUUUCAUUAUCAUAAUGGUCCCUUCUGGCAUCAAAACCCAUGAAUCUGUUCGUUUUAUCAACCUCAGCUGAUUUUGUGAACUGGAAGUGGCUGCAGAGAUGGACAGGGAGGGCAUCAAGAACACAUAACAUAGUAUGAGAUUUUAAAGGAUACAAAUAUGGAUUAGAGGAGUAUGUUUGCACAGUUAUUUUCCAAAACAGCUUCCAAUAAAAUCGAUUAGAAAAUUAUACCUGAAAUUAAAAGCAAUGACAGAGCCCAAGGAGAGGACACACAAACACGGUACAAACAGCUGCCUGCAAUCAAAAAGUAACUAAGAAUAACUUACAUACAAAAAAUAUCAUAAUUAAAAUAUCAGAAUCAUGACUAGUCUAGCAGGGGAGACUGUGGCUUCAAGAACAAGCUCAAAAUUAAAGCCUUGCUGCUGGGAUUUGGUGAGGAAUGACUGAAACACAACAAGUUUACUGAAUGCAGGGCAAAAGAUCCAUUGCCCUCAAAAUCCCAGUCACAAAGCACCCAAAAACAUGCCUGAGAGCGAGCAAGCCAGCAAAUAAUGCAAAUGGAUGAUCCUCCAAAACACUGAGGAAUGCCUUGCAAUUUGAAAACAACUGGAAUAUGUAAUUUGAGAUUUUGUUGGUUCUGUGGUUUUUAGCAAAUUUGAGAAAAGAAGGAAAAAUAAGGUAUGGUUUUUUUUUUUUUUUUUUAAUAUUGAAACCUCCCCCCCGGACAGCCUGCUGACCUGCAGGACCCAGCCAAGGCUUUGAAAUUAAAAUGUCCUAAGUGACGUGCCAUUGUCAGUUUUCAUAAUACAUUAAUUUAGUUAAACAUGUUAAUAAUUACCACGCAAGAAUUUUCACCUACGUCAUAUUCCCAAGCAUUCCAUGUUUCAGCCUGUGUGGUGCUCUGCUUGUUUCGGUAGCGGCUGAUAGGCAGCUUUUCAAAUUCCAGAGUGUGUGUGUGCAUAUUCAUUUAUACAAAUAUUAUAUAACCUGUUUACACAGGUCUUUUGAAAAUUAUUUAAAGGCACUUUUUUUUCCCCCUCUGCUUACAGGUAAACAGAUUUCUGUAGUCACAAGAUUAACCAAGCAGUUUGCUUUAUGUUUUAGUGUUUCAGACUAAAACCCCUUCCAUAGCCACAGCAAAGCAAUUUAAGAACAAAACCAGAACAGAUCAAUGCCUGUUACUUACAUCCCAAUUGCUAUGGACUUUAUUCAUAGCUAUUGAAAAAGUAUAUAUAUAUUGAAAAAUAUAUCAUACAAAAAUAUAAUUAAGUAUUUUUACUGUAACUCAGCACUAUAGAACUCAAGAGGAGUAAUUCAGAAAAAAAUGCAUCCUAUUAGAGGACUUUUAGUUUAUAUGUUACCAAAAUUUCCAUAUUUCUGAAAUCCUCCUCACUAGAGAAAAAACUCAAAUUCCAUUCUUGCAUAGUUUCCAAAUUUUCAAAGAGGAAAAUAUUUAGUGCAAUUAUCAGUAACAUCUCCACUGCUAGGACAGCAAUACUCCCAACAGGCAUUGCCAAGAGGUUUUUGUACUUUUGUGUCAUAUCGGGGAUUUUUUUUCUCUAAACUCUGUGACAUAUAUUCAGCCAAGACCAGUCAAGCAUUCAGAACUGUUGAGCAAGACAUGCUUUUUAUGCUUAAACCUAGAUCCAUUCUAUUUGUACACAGACUCCAUGGAUCCCACACAAACUGUGUUUUCAAGCUGUUUUGAGUAAGCUCCUUUUUGAUUUUUAAAACUAGAAUGUCUAUGUGAAAACCAGUGUAAAAUGAAAUGUACCAAUCAGAAUGUUAUUGUUACUUCUGAAUGUCUUUAAAACAAGGCCAGGAGAUUUCUCUAUUUGGAAUAAAAACACUGCAACUUUUUAUUGUUUAUUCAGCACAAUAGUAUCAUACUAUGCAAUGCUAUACAAUUGUGCUGCUAGAACAUUUCAGUCAAUGCACUUUGCUGUAAAUCAAAAAUAAACAAACAAACACCUAGAUUUUUGUGUUCUUUUAAAAAUAAUUACAGUUUUUUGGGAAAAAAAAAAAAAGCCUGUUAGAGAUCAUCACCUAAUUCCUGCCUGGAAUCCUACUAUCCUACUCAGAUUAGUAACUUCAAUUUCUGUACUUAAGUACUAUUAUUACAAAUUCCAGAAAUUAAAGCUUUUUUUUUUUGUUUUCAAAGUAUCUGUAUUUUUGUUAAGUGUGGUCUACUACCUUCAACACUACCUUCAGCUGCGUUAUGAACUAGUGAGUAUAGAACUGAAAUGCUUUCUCCUUUUACUUUAUAUCUCCAGAGGGACUACUUCGUAUAAUUAAAUGUAGCAAGUCAUCUCCUCAAAUAGCAUAAACAAUGUCUCUCCAUGCAAUUUAUCAGAGUACGAAAUUCUGAUCUCUACGAGUUUUUGAAAUAACACUAACAAAAUUCACAAUAAAUAUGUCUAUCUGUGUGCACAACAUUUCAUAUCAGCAUAGUGUCAUAAUUGGCCAUGAAAGUAUUUCUCAAGGUGUUUUGAUAAAUAUUUAAGAAUAUGCGGCAUUUAAAAAUUAAAAUAAUAUAUUUUAGACAGUUCUAUAAUAAUAGCUAGAUUCCAGAUAUUCACUUCUUACUGAAUUUUCUUUCUUGUUGCUUGCUUGCACAUCAGCAUGCAUGAAAAAGUACGUGUGUUCUAAAUAUCUAUUUUGCAAUCACUUCAAAAGCGUCAGAGUACAAAUUGAGAAACUCUGGUAAGGAAUUUUCCUUGCACUGUGAAUGAGCUAAGCAAGUAUGUGCAAUGUGGCAGAAGAUAAUGAAGCUUCCUUCCCAAGCACAAACUCUUAAGGCUUGCUGGCAGAGAACUCAAUCGUUUCAAUUCAGGCCACUCAUAUGAAGUUAGAGGAAAAAAAAAUAUUUUUGAUAAACAUUCUACAUGGACAAAACUUAUUUUUGCUCUUUCUGCAUCAACACGAGAAAUUAGUCUUGCUCUUAGAACUGAUUUUUUUUUUUUCCCCUUCUGCAACAUUCAUGUGUGCGUCCAUUCCCUCGGGUUAGACUCUGUGGCACAUGUGCAUGUGCACACAUGCCUGGAUCAGUAAAGGAGAACUGGGUGGUGCAACAGCACUUUGGGAAGGGAAGACCUUCUACCAGUUUCCAUGCCUUCUUUGGGUUUCAGAUAUUCAGAUAUUAUUUAGAAUUAAAAAAGGAAGGCUGUUCGCUUGGAGAAGUGCUACUGUUUUUAAUUGUUCAGAGUCAAAAUCAACUAAAGAUGCAUGUUCAUUUUGUAUUACAAAUGUACUUGUGGCACAAUUUAAUAGAAGAUGAUUAUUUAAAUAUUUAAAAUCCAGAUCUUAAUGAUAUAUGGUCAGAUCCCUAGGCAUCAAUCCUGCAAACACAUAAGCGUAUUAAGUUAAUGGAAAUUCUCAUGUACAUAAGUUGAAGUAUUUAAAACCUUUCAGGAUUAGGAAUCUAAUUUUGCUUCAAGAAAAAAAUGUGUCUUCUUUGAGCAAGUAUUAUUUUUCUCUCUUUGCCCUUUACUAAAUGCCUAUAAAAUUUCUUUUCAAGUUUUAUUAGAUGUAUUGCUUGACAAAAUGAAACAAAUUGCAUAUACAAUUCAUUUUUAUAAUGAGUCUAUUGCAAUUUCUGACACACAAGUGCUCAAUCUCUAAACUUCACCAUUGUUCCUCCCCCCCAAAAAUAAAUAAAUAAUCAAAAAUAACAUUUCAAAUCUUAAUUUAUCGCUAAAUAAAACAAAGGACAAAUAAGAUGGUCCUAUACAGAAAAUAUCUACUCUAGUGCUUAAUUUUUUAGAUCUAUGACUGAUAAUAAAUUAUCUGACACCUGCCAAUAAAAUCAAGUGAUUUUACUAAUCAGGGCAGAUAAGGGAUGGGGGAAAGAAACCAUGUACCACAAGUGCUUGCUUCAGGUUUGCAGGCUUGCAUCCUCAAAGGCACAUUUCUUUUGUGAUUUAGGAGGGAGCUUAAAUUCCCAGAUUUCACACCUGGAACUGCAUUCAAGCAAGAUGACAAAAGUACCUGGAGCAGGCAGUGAACGCUCACCUCUGGCUGAGGUGCAUGAUGAAAGGAAAAAAGGCAGAGGAGAGAGGGUUGUCUGGUAGGAAGAGCUGGAGUUGGGGGCAAAGAGGGAGGGAAAUAAAAACAAAAUUUAUAGGUUUCCUAUCAUACUGUAAGCACAGUCAUUUCAGAGGAUGAGAGCAGAAACGCUUGCAUUUUACAGAAGCUGUACACAUAGAACAGUCAUAGAAUCACAGAACCACCUAGGUUGGAGAGGACCUUUGAGAUCACCAAGUCACUACUGAGUCACAUCACUAAACCCUGUCCCUUAGUGCCACGUCUCUUAAAUAUCUCCAGGGCUGGGGACUCCACCACUGCCCUGGGCUGCCUGUUCCAAUGCUUGACUACCCUCUCCAUGAAGAAAUUCUUCCAAAUGUCCAAUCUUAACCUCCCUGAAAGUAUGCCUUACUGCUUUCCCUUUGAUACUGACUCACAGAGUCACUGCUGAUCAAGGUGUGACAGAGUGGAACAGAGCCCAGCUGAACCAAAUAUUGGCCCAUCUGCAUUUAUCUCAAGCUGUCCCCUUCCUUCCACACAGAUAGACUUAAUCAACCCCAAGCUGCCAACAUUUUCACCCUGGGUGAUUGCUUCAGAGAGUUAUGGUCCCCUGGGAGGUCCAAACAGCAUUUAGCUAUUGCACUGGUUUCUGAGAGGAUAGCCUCCAGCAGCUGAAAGACUAACAGAGAUCUCUUUCUUUGAGCCCCCAAAACUGCACAUCUUUUCUUUCCUUUUUUUUCCCAGCAAAAUGCACUCAGAGCCCUGACUCAGUGAGGCUGAAGUUUACAAAGAAGAACUUCUUGGGCUCUCAAGAGCCCAUUGCAAAGGCACUGUUUAAUUCCCCUGAACUUCAAGUCAGAAGUACCAAGCCCCUACUCGGGACAAAAUUCCUAGGUCAGGAGACUGCAGUCCUUCCUCAUAGCACUUCAGAUCAGGGCUGCACCUCCGCCAUGAAAUUUAACUUAUGCAUAAGGAAUCAAAUCAUCUGGUUAAUAUGAUUUCUGGUUCAAGUGACUGUCACUGUAAUUCAGUCAGCCUAGAACUCACAAACAAAAUACUGAUAUUACUGCAAAAAUAACUAUUUCAGCAUUAUUAAUUCCAGUCAUUCACAUACACUGUCAGCCUGGUGAUCACAUAGUGCUAAGAGGUGAAACAAAGUGACAGAAAAUAAAUAAACAAAUACAAGAAUCAGUCAUAAUUCCCAACUUCAUCUCUAUGUUUAUUUUCCUCAUUUCAGAAGAACUUCCUCUGAGCAAAAUAAUAUAGUGUCUUUAUGUUUUAAAGCAACUUUCUGUAUAUUUCUAUCAGCACAUAUGGAAGAGCUGGAUCCAAUGAACAGCUGAUAUUUUUGCCCCUUCCAGCAAAGACAGGUUACAGAACCCUACCAAAUAGUCCUUGUGCAAUCACUUAUACUGUCUAUUAUUAAAACAAAACAAAACAAAAACGCAACAACAACAACAACCAAAUCCACAGCCUUGACAGCGACUUUCCAGGCAAUUAUUCUGUGCCUGUGCUAAUCUACUCUUAGGUAGUGCCAAGGAAUUAUCAGCAGAGUAGACAGCUUCAGAUAUUGUUGUUAUUAUUAUUGCAUUUGUUGUGCUGGCUGCAAACCUGCUUGCUGUGACAGGCAAUAUAUCCCUGGCACUUGUGCUGCUGGCUGACACGGUCACUGCUCGGGAGGUACGCUUCACUAGCAGUGAAUUCUGCUUGGCUUAAAAAGGGUUGCCCUUCAGUGGCUAUGUUCUUACUUCUUGGGAAGGUCCCUUAAGAGAAUCAGCAGCUACCUGAUUUCCUUCUGUGCUGCUUAUUUCACCUUUUUUCACCUUAUUUCAUCGUUUUUAUGCCUGACAUAUUGAGCAUUAAAAGCCUAGUGGGAAAACACUAACUCCAAUACCUUCUGUAGGUCAAUGCCACUCAGAUUCACCUGAAUUAAAAUAUGAUGUCUGGUUCUUUAUCUAGUGCUCAACCCAUAAAAGAAGUUUAUUGAGCUGAAGUGCAGCCUGCUUGGUAAAGAGUGCCUGCAGCUCCAGGAAACAGCAUGAAAAUAAGGCUAAGAUGUUAUAUCUGCUGUUUGAACUGAAGGCACACCCAGUUGGCCACCUGAAUGUACAAUCCAGUGCCACUGUUCAAGCCUGACUGCUAAGGGAUGAAGCAGAUAUCAAAGUUCUCUUUUCAUCUCUAAGAUACAGUGCAUAAGUUCUCAUAUUAUCCUAUCGCAUGGCUUCAUCUCUUACAGCAGAUCACUUGCAGAAGCAAAAAGGCCUGAGGAGAUCUGGUGCUGCAGUUAGCAAAAAAAAACUCUGGAUAAAAGGUGCAGCACAGAAGUUUUCUGAAGGCAGCUUUGUGCCCGCAUGCCUCGCUGAUGAGGGCAGGGGUCACAGUAGACCCUGGUUUUGAGGAAUUUGUUCUGGUUCCCUCAGGUCUUACAUCUUCUGGGCAGCGAGUGCAAGCGCUCCAGACCAAGAGACAGAACUGGUUAAGGUAAUCUGCUCUUACCUAAGGUAUGAGAACAGCCUGGGUAUGUCUUGAAGAAACACCCUCUUUAUCUGAAGAUAAGAAAGACCUUUACACUUUUAAAAAUAUUUUUGUAAAGUAAGCACUACAAAGCUACUGUCAUAUACUGACGCAAACAUGUCUGGAGAAGUACUGAUGUUCCUCAGACAUCAGUUUUCAUAAAUAUAACACUAAAUGCACGAUUACGAUGUUUUAUCAACCAGAACCACAGAGACGAGAAAAUAAAAAUUUGUUAUCUGGCCCCUACUUGCUUUGUUUGCUAAUGUAUAUUACUCUCAGGCUUUUGGUUUAUAAUUGGCUCUUUUUGAACUGCGAUAUAUAUUAAUUCAGUGCCUUUGUGGCUUAGCAUUCUCAUCUACUAAACUCUAAACACUUUGGUCAUGUUCUUUGAUGGCUAAGGAUAAAGGAGAGCAUAUAAAUUCUGAACCUACUGUUUAUACUGUAGCAGUGGCAUUUCUCCAUGGGCUGGCACCAAUCGGGACAACUAAGAUACCAGUUGAACUGUAUGAUAUACAAACUUGUAGCAAAACAUAAUGAUGUUUACAGCUUAAGAAAACAAACACCCAGGAUAUGGGAAAAGAUGUCAAACAAAGGCAGAGGAGCACAGACAGCUAGUUUGGUUGCUUCCACUUACAUAUUUAUAAUGUAAAUAAUACUACUGUAAAUUCAAGUGCCUUACUGAUACAGUACUUCAGUGGACUGCAUUCUGAAAAAUUAUUAACUUUGUUGAUCAAGCAAGCCAUCAUUGGGUGGGCCUUGUAAUUAUUUAUUUUGAACAGCUCUACUGAGGUGAGUCAUUUUAUGGAUGUCAGUAGAACCUCCUGUGAAGUAACAACCCCAGUUACACUCCCUGAUUAUUCUGGUGGCCCUCGCUUCUUCCCUCUCUAAAGUAAAUCAGGGUCGGAUUUUUAAGUAUAAAAGCCCUGUGAGAUCGCAAGCAUACUGAAAACCUUUUUGAACACAAGGACCAUAACUUUUAUUGUACAGAAUAGUACCUUUUUAUUGGGAAACAGUCACAGAUGUAAUUUAACAGCAGGCUAAAAGGAAAAUUGUGAUUGCACUGGUAUCAUUGGCAAGGUCUGCACUUGCCUUGAAGAGGUGAAUUCUAAAGUGUACUUUGACUAUCAGUGCCUGCACUGGAAUUCUUGCACUGCUCCUUGGGGAAAAUAGCACAGCUACAAGAGAGCUGUUCAGAAAUAAUUACAAGUGAAGUAUAUACUCGUAGUCAGAUCUGACAUAUGAGGGAACUAAAUACAAAUAACUCAGUGGCAUUUUCUCCCACCCCAACCAAACAGGAGAAUGGGAACUUCUGAUAGUAGCUAGUAAGUUUCUGUGCUUCAGGACUGUUUUAUUCCACAUCAGCAUUUCUCACACUCCAUGUAGUUUCUGUUGCAUUGUAUUACACAAAUACUCCUACAGCAGGGCAGAGUCUGUAUAUGCUCCUUUAAAACCCGUUCAUAGGUAGUAGAAUAUUUUGGUUUCCCAAUUCGCAUUCACGACAAAUGAAUUUAAAGAUUAAAAUUGCCCCCAAAUGUGUCCCCCAUCCCUGAGAGCAUUGUUGGCUAUGUUGGAAAGCUAUUAGAGAUCAAACACUAUGCUAAGUCUGCAAGAGAUCUAAAAAGGCCGACGGCAAUACUGAAUGUGAAGUCAUUAAGCCUAGAGUUCUUCAGGCAAGAUUGUUCCCUGGCUGAAAAAAAAUUAUGAAAACUCAGAUCUCUUGAGGAUAGGAAUUCAGAAGAACAAAAAUAGCACUUCCAACAUUAUUAGUCUUCUUUCUAAAAGCCAGAAAAAGAGGGAGGGAAAUGCAAAUACACUGGGCUGGGUACUAGCAGAAGCAUUACGCCUGGGCAAAAUCAACGGUUUUAUAUUUAUAGCAUAUCUUUACUUAUAAUUGUUUCAGCAUAUUGUAGUACAGAAGUAUUGCUGAAUAUGAUAAAGAACACUUUACUGAAUGCACAAAAAGUGUGAAUGACCUUUUAAUAGCACUCUUUUGUUUUGCCUGACAAAGAUUUAUGUCAAUGAGAGAACAGGUUUUAAUGAAAAAUAUUCCUACGAAACAUAUGUAUGUGCUUAACUCUUGUAUAUAUGUGAAUGAAAGACCUUAAUAAAUACAACUGCCUACAAGAUCUGUUCUUUAAUUUUCUUUAUUGCAUUUUGAAAUUCAUGAUAGAUGUCCGAUAUUUUCAUAACAUAUUAGCACAGUGGUGACGUAAAAAUAGCAAUACCCAUACAUCAGCCCAUGGUACCUUUAAGUAUAAAAUGCAAGCAUCAAAUAUUGCUAAAUAGUCUUGUAAACCUGUGAUAUGACAGAAGCCUGUGAGUAA